Molecule: ribosomal RNA, 497 nt
Filed under: uncultured bacterium
Lineage: Bacteria
Description: partial 16S ribosomal RNA
Rfam family: Bacterial small subunit ribosomal RNA
Source: RNAcentral
GAUGAACGCUGGCGGCGUGCCUAAUACAUGCAAGUCGAGCGAACAGACGAGGAGCUUGCUCCUCUGACGUUAGCGGCGGACGGGUGAGUAACACGUGGAUACCCUCCCUAUCAGACUGGUAUAACUUCGGGAAACCGGCGCUAAUACCGGAUAAUAUCUUGAACCGCAUGGUUCAAUAGUGAAAGACGGUUUUGCUGUCACUUAUAGCUGGUUCCGGGCCGUAUUAGCUGGUUGGUAAGGUAACAGCUUACCAAGGCAACGAUGCGUGGCCGACCGGAGGGGGGGAUCGGCCACAUGGGAAGGGAGACGCGGUCCAGACGACUGAGGGAGGCAGCAGUAGGGAAUCGUCGGCAAAGGGGGAAAGCCUGACGGAACAACGGCGCGUCUGUGAUGAAGGCCCCCGGAGCGGAAAACUCUGUUACUAGGUAAGAACAAAUGUCUAAGUAAAUAUGCACGGCGUGACGGUACCUAAUCAGAAAGCCACGGCUAACUACGUG